GAUGAACGCUGGCGGCGUGCCUAAUACAUGCAAGUCGAGCGAACAGAUGAGGAGCUUGCUCCUCUGACGUUAGCGGCGGACGGGUGAGUAACACGUGGAUAACCUACCUAUAAGACUGGGAUAACUUCGGGAAACCGGAGCUAAUACCGGAUAAUAUCUUGAACCGCAUGGUUCAAUAGUGAAAGACGGUUUUGCUGUCACUUAUAGAUGGAUCCGCGCCGCAUUAGCUAGUUGGUAAGGUAACGGCUUACCAAGGCAACGAUGCGUAGCCAACCUGAGGGCGGGUAGGCGGCAUGAGAAGGUGAACCACGGCACGGGGUCUGAGGGAAGGCAGCGAUUGGUAAGGGUGGCAGAAGGGGGGAAGCCUGCGGAAGGAGCGGCGGGCGGAGGAAGAGGGGCCGCGGGUGGGAAAACGCUUUUAUUGGGGAAAAACUAUUUUAGAAGUAACUAAGCGCAAGUGACGGUACCUGAAGAAGAAGCCCCGGGCAACCACGGG
Molecule: ribosomal RNA, 496 nt
Filed under: uncultured bacterium
Lineage: Bacteria
Description: partial 16S ribosomal RNA
Rfam family: Bacterial small subunit ribosomal RNA
Source: RNAcentral